RNAcentral lists this unclassified non-coding RNA (309 nucleotides) under plant metagenome. Its description in RNAcentral is "partial contains 5.8S ribosomal RNA, internal transcribed spacer 2, and large subunit ribosomal RNA". The stretch from base 1 to 105 matches the Rfam family "5.8S ribosomal RNA", at positions 50 to 154 of the family's 154-position model. The record is from RNAcentral.
GAAAUGCGAUAAGUAAUGUGAAUUGCAGAAUUCAGUGAACCAUCGAAUCUUUGAACGCACAUUGCGCCCCCUGGCACUCCGGGGGGCACGCCUGUCCGAGCGUCAUUUGUACCCUCAAGCUCUGCUUGGUGUUGGGUGUUUGUCCCGUCUCCGCGCGUGGACUCGCCCCAAAGUGAUUGGCAGCCGGCGUACUGGUCCCGGAGCGCAGCACAUGUCGCGCAAACGAGUGCCUUGGUACGGCGGCGUCCAUAAGCCCCUCUCUCACGCUCUUGACCUCGGAUCAGGUAGGGAUACCCGCUGAACUUAAGC